Molecule: long non-coding RNA, 2003 nt
Organism: Lynx canadensis (Canada lynx)
Lineage: Eukaryota; Metazoa; Chordata; Mammalia; Carnivora; Felidae
Source: Ensembl
CACCUGCACCAGCAGGGGAGGGGCAGAGAGAGAGAGAGAGAGAGAGAGAGAGAGAAAAUCCCAAGGAGGCUCUACGCUCAGUGCAGAGCCCGACGCGGGGCUUGAUCCCACGACCCUGGGACCCGACCUGACCUGACUCUUUUCCCAGCAGCAGCUGCUCCUGGAGGAGAGCCAGGCGGAGACUGUGUUCGGAGGAAGCACGCCCGCCCAGCCCCGGGCCCCCGCGUGUUUUCCGAGGCCUUGACAGACGGCUGCCCCGAGGCCAUGCAGAGACCCAGACGUUAUUCAGUUACAAAAAAAAAAAAAAAAAAAAAAAAAAAAAUCAAACAGCAGCAAACCUCAGUGGAAUGCUACGGUUUCCAAGUUUCCUCAACGCAGUCCUCCCUGCAAAUCACCCACGAGGCUUGGCGGGCCACUUCAAAGGGCUCCUCUGUCUUAAAUUCCAAUAAACGUAUUUAUUAAUACACUUGAAUAAACCCCUUGGUUCCUCUUCUUCCUUAACGAAGAUCUGCUCUACGCUUUCCCACGUACCGGCGGGUCACAGCACCACACCACGGGGAAGCCUUCACCUGUGCCGGGGGCUGGAAUGCAACUCUGACAAAACCAAAGGGAGAAAAACAGAAAAACAAGGACACGGGCAGGGCUCACAAAAACUCGUUUUAUUGCACCCGGAUCUUGGCAACGUCUGGGGCGCCUCAGCCCCGGGAGCGGAGGCGUGGCUCACGGGACGCAGUGGGCUGAGCCCACCGGGAAAAGGCAGGUGAGUGAGGCCAAUGGGAGAGGGGGACCCUUCCCCCCAAACACAAAGUUAAAUUAAACCCAUGUUCUAAGUCAACCAAGUGACUGCUAUCAUAUAAAAGCUUUCGUUACUUAUAUAUAUUUAUAUAUUUACACAUCCCCUAGAGUUUGGACUGACUUUCCGGGCUCACCCUUUCCCCUUCCCAGUGUGGCUGACGACCUUCUGCGGGAGGAAAGGGCUUGCCCCUAUGAACAGUGAUGAAUGCCGUAGACAGGCCAGUGCUCAGCACCGCCCAAGACACAACGGGCAUGUUUUCCUAGAAAAAGGUUUCAUAAUUACACAGUGGAUGAGGGAAGAGCCUGGUCUGAAGAGGGAGCAAGAAAAGAGACAAAUUCUGUGUUGCAGACAAUGAACUUCCCUUUUCAACUAUAGAACGUUCCAGAAAAAUAGGGCCAUACAAGAAUGAAGGUCAACACUGCAAGGGGGGGGGGUAAAAAAAAAGAGCCCUGCCCAUAAAGGCCCCUGUCUUCCCCCCCAAACGGGCAGAUGACAAGGCCAUAGAACACUGGGGACUGGGGUGGGGUGGGGUGGGGAGCAACCUUUAUCUACGAACAAGGUUCCGUCCCCUGAAAAAGCAAAAGGCCCCCGCACAGGUGACACAGCACCCAAGCUUCCUGCUGGGACCAGAAGCAGCCCCAGAACGGGCCAGGGUAUUAGUACUCUCCCACCUUUUCCAAAGAGAAAUAGGACAGGAAGGAAAACCAAACACAACUAUCUCCGUGAAAAAAUUAACGUACCUCCCUCUGUGAAACACUAACGCUUUUUCUGAUCCCCCCCCCCCCCCCGGCCCCAGAGCAAGCGGCAAGGCUCGGGAAGAGUGUGGCACCGGGGUGCCGGACAAGGGCAUCGGCGGGCCUCAGGCCGCGAGGGACAGACAGGUCCACACCAGACGUCAGUCCACCUCCACGCGGACGUUCCCAAGAGGAAAGGACGCGCAGAUGUGUUCCGUGGAGUCGCUCUAAGAUUGACCUCUACGCCCUCUACUACUGGGUCACGUGUCUGUUCUCCGGAAAACGCCACCUCAACUGAGGGUUUCCCACAUUUAUUAAAUUACGAGUUCGCAGGCACAGCUUGAGCAAGAUAAAAAAGUGAUCUCGAAUCAUACAAUCAUCUAAAUUCAAAAGCACUCACAAAAUUGAGCAAAUAAAGCUGGUAUCGCGUACUGGGGGAAGGAAACAUAUUGCUGAUGGAAGCCACAGACCUG